This 449-nucleotide long non-coding RNA is filed under the name Mustela putorius furo (domestic ferret). Its description in RNAcentral is "lncRNA (ENSMPUG00000025633.1)". The record is from RNAcentral. Lineage: Eukaryota; Metazoa; Chordata; Mammalia; Carnivora; Mustelidae.
UAAUAUUAACUCACAUAAUAACAUUGAGUUCUUCUUCUGGGCCAGGUAAUGUCCUGAGAGUUUCCUGAGGCUGAACUCAUUUCACAAUAACAGUUACAGCACCAUGACCAACAACAACCACACCAUAAGGCACUGUUCUAGUCACUGGGACUACAGGAGGGAACAGAACAGACAGAAAUCCCUGCUGUCAUGGGGCUUAUUUUCUAAGGAGAGAGAUGUGACUAUAAACAAGUAUGACAUAAGAUGGCGGGACAAAGAUGAAGUAUUAGCUGGAGUGCGCCUUUAACUCAAGGAGUUGAUUUAGAACCAAAACUUUCUAGAAGGAACUUGGAUGGACUAUACUAUGGCCAAACACCCCUGUCCUUUUUCCUCUGUGGGGUAAGUAGUUUGCAUUAAGUCUCCUUCCACCCCCAGUGCAGUUGGCUAUGUCAGGUAAACCACAAUAAAAC